This 119-nucleotide ribosomal RNA is filed under the name Lepisosteus oculatus (spotted gar). The record is from RNAcentral. Lineage: Eukaryota; Metazoa; Chordata; Actinopteri; Semionotiformes; Lepisosteidae.
GCCAGCAGCCAUAUCACCCUGCAACUUGCGACUGGCAGCCCACUGAAGCUCAGCAGGUGUGAGCCUGGUCAGUACCUGGAUGGGAGACCUCCUGGGAAAAACUAAGGUUGCUGCUGGAA